GUGGCUUUCAGCAGAACACCUUAUCUGCUCUCGAGAGCUGUGACUCUUCAUCCUUUCCUUAUGAAGACCCAGGGGAUUGCUUACUUAGCAUCCACCAGAGGCAAUGGAUAGGGUGAGCAGUCACUGCAGCCAGAAAAGCCCAGCACGGAGCAAAGGCAAUUACCUCCGCACGCAGAGACUUUGGAGCUGAAUUGUGCUGAACGGAGAACCCCUCCGGCUGGCAGAGCCAUGUGCGGCCGAGAAGAGCAGCCACUUUCGCUCCGCUGAAAAGCAAUGCAGGAACCCUCGUGGUGUACGGUGCUGCUGGGUGCAAUCAUUAAGGCAAUGAGCAAACGCUCUCCACUUGUUGUCCAACUUUGAAGACGGGCAGAUCUACAAGAGCACACCAGGGAUAAGAACUGCUUUCAGGUCUGGGUGGACGUGAACCUGAGCGGAGCCUGAAGGCGUUAAAGCCACGCUGACCAACAAAACUUUUAAAAUAUGACUAUGGUGAGGAUUUUAGCUCCACGAUGCUGCCAUGCCGGGAUGUGACAGGCUUCCCACCCAGGUCUGGAAGUGACAGCGCCAACAUUUGCAGCUCUGGGGGAAAAGAAACAUCUUUUAAAGCAUCGUGCCUAGGUAAGAAUGAAGGUGAAAUUCAGCCACGCUGUUCAGCACAAGCAUUACAGAGCACCCAUAACAGAGGCUGCCAACUCAUCUCUGUCUGCUGGUGUACACAAAGUCAUAG
Molecule: long non-coding RNA, 727 nt
Organism: Gallus gallus (chicken)
Lineage: Eukaryota; Metazoa; Chordata; Aves; Galliformes; Phasianidae
Source: Ensembl